Molecule: ribosomal RNA, 660 nt
Filed under: uncultured Campylobacterota bacterium
Lineage: Bacteria; Pseudomonadati; Campylobacterota
Description: bacterial SSU rRNA
Rfam family: Bacterial small subunit ribosomal RNA
Source: RNAcentral
GUAGAGAUAACUAGGAAUACCAAAAGCGAAGGCAAUCUUCUGAAACACUACUGACGCUGAGGCGCGAAAAGCGUGGGGAGCAAACAGGAUUAGAUACCCUGGUAGUCCACGCAGUAAACGAUGAAUGUUAGUCGUCGGGGGCCUAGUGUCUUCGGUGAUGCAGCUAACGCAUUAAACAUUCCGCCUGGGGAGUACGGUCGCAAGAUUAAAACUCAAAGGAAUAGACGGGGACCCGCACAAGUGGUGGAGCAUGUGGUUUAAUUCGAAGAUACGCGAAGAACCUUACCUAGCCUUGACAUAUUUAAGAAUCCGGUAGAGAUACUGGAGUGCCUUCGGGAGCUUUCUUACAGGUGCUGCACGGCUGUCGUCAGCUCGUGUCGUGAGAUGUUGGGUUAAGUCCCGCAACGAGCGCAACCCUCGUCACUAGUUACUAACGGUUCGGCCGAGGACUCUAGUGAGACUGCCUUCGUAAGGAGGAGGAAGGUGAGGACGACGUCAAGUCAUCAUGGCCCUUACGGCUAGGGCAACACACGUGCUACAAUGGUUGGGACAGUGAGACGCGAUACCGUGAGGUGGAGCAAAUCUAUAAACCUGGUCUCAGUUCGGAUUGUAGUCUGCAACUCGACUACAUGAAGCUGGAAUCACUAGUAAUCGUAGAUC